UGGGGAAUAUUGGACAAUGGGGGAAACCCUGAUCCAGCCAUGCCGCGUGAGUGAUGAAGGCCUUAGGGUUGUAAAGCUCUUUUGUCAGGGAAGAUGAUGACGGUACCUGAAGAAUAAGCACCGGCUAACUUCGUGCCAGCAGCCGCGGUAAUACGAAGGGUGCUAGCGUUGUUCGGAAUCACUGGGCGUAAAGGGUGCGUAGGCGGCUUUGCAAGCCAGAGGUGAAAGCCUGGAGCUUAACUCCAGAACUGCCUUUGGAACUGCAUGGCUAGAGUGUCGGAGGGGAUAGCGGAAUUUCUAAUGUAGCGGUGAAAUGCGUAGAUAUUAGAAGGAACACCGGUGGCGAAGGCGGCUAUCUGGACGACAACUGACGCUGAGGCACGAAAGCGUGGGGAUCAAA
This 400-nucleotide ribosomal RNA is filed under the name uncultured bacterium. Its description in RNAcentral is "bacterial SSU rRNA". It matches the Rfam family "Bacterial small subunit ribosomal RNA", at positions 355 to 772 of the family's 1533-position model. The record is from RNAcentral.